UAUCUAGUAAACCCUCUUUUAACCAAAUGAUGAGAUAAUUUAUUAAAUUAGUUAAUGAGCUUGAACA
Molecule: transfer RNA, 67 nt
Filed under: Marmarodeceia marmorata
Lineage: Eukaryota; Metazoa; Arthropoda; Insecta; Diptera; Lauxaniidae
Description: tRNA-Ser
Source: RNAcentral